AUACGUAGGGUGCAAGCGUUAAUCGGAAUUACUGGGCGUAAAGCGUGCGCAGGCGGUUCGGAAAGAAGGAUGUGAAAUCCCAGGGCUCAACCUUGGAACUGCAUUCUUAACUACCGAACUAGAGUAUGUCAGAGGGGGGUAGAAUUCCGCGUGUAGCAGUGAAAUGCGUAGAUAUGCGGAGGAAUACCGAUGGCGAAGGCAGCCCCCUGGGAUAAUACUGACGCUCAUGCACGAAAGCGUGGGUAGCAAACAGGAUUAGAUACCCUGGUAGUCCGCGCCCUAAACGAUGUCAACUAGCUGUUGGGCCCUUCGGGUCUUAGUAGCGUAGCUAACGCGUGAAGUUGACCGCCUGGGGAGUACGGUCGCAAGAUUAAAACUCAAAUGAAUUGACGGGG
RNAcentral lists this ribosomal RNA (395 nucleotides) under uncultured bacterium. RNAcentral's name for it is "partial 16S ribosomal RNA". It matches the Rfam family "Bacterial small subunit ribosomal RNA", at positions 523 to 918 of the family's 1533-position model. The record is from RNAcentral.